This 504-nucleotide ribosomal RNA is filed under the name uncultured bacterium. RNAcentral's name for it is "bacterial SSU rRNA". It matches the Rfam family "Bacterial small subunit ribosomal RNA", at positions 28 to 521 of the family's 1533-position model. The record is from RNAcentral.
GAUGAACGCUAGCUACAGGCUUAACACAUGCAAGUCGAGGGGCAGCAGGAGAUUAGCUUGCUAAUCUUGCUGGCGACCGGCGCACGGGUGAGUAACGCGUAUCCAACCUUCCCCUUAGUAGGGCAUAGCCCGGCGAAAGUCGGAUUAAUACCCUAUGUUUUCCGUCGAUGACAUCAGAAGUGGAAUAAAGAUUUAUCGCUAAGGGAUGGGGAUGCGUCUGAUUAGGUAGUCGGCGGGGUAACGGCCCACCGAGCCAACGAUCAGUAGGGGUUCUGAGAGGAAGGUCCCCCACAUUGGAACUGAGACACGGUCCAAACUCCUACGGGAGGCAGCAGUGAGGAAUAUUGGUCAAUGGACGAGAGUCUGAACCAGCCAAGUAGCGUGCAGGAUGACGGCCCUAUGGGUUGUAAACUGCUUUUAUGCGGGGAUAAAGUCAGCUACGUGUAGCUGUUUGUAGGUACCGCAUGAAUAAGGACCGGCUAAUUCCGUGCCAGCCGCCGCCGU